GUGCCAGCCGCCGCGGUAAUACAGAGGGUGCAAGCGUUGUUCGGAAUGAUUGGGCGUAAAGCAUCUGUAGGUGGUUUCUAAAGUCAGCUGUUAAAUCCCAGAGCUCAACUUUGGUCAAGCAGUUGAGUACUUAGAGACUUGAGUACGGUAGGGGUAGAGGGAAUUCCUUGUUUAGCGGUGAAAUGCAUAGAGAUAAGGAAGAACACCAGUGGCGAAAGCGCUCUACUGGGCCGUAACUGACACUGAGAGAUGAAAGUUAGGGGAGCGAAAAGGAUUAGAUACCCUUGUAGUCCUAACUGUAAACGAUGGAUACUAAGUGCUGUCAAAAACAGUGCUGUAGCUAACGCGUUAAGUAUCCCGCCUGGGGAGUAUGCUCGCAAGAGUGAAACUCAAAGGAAUUGGCGGGG
This 407-nucleotide ribosomal RNA is filed under the name uncultured cyanobacterium. RNAcentral describes it as "bacterial SSU rRNA". It matches the Rfam family "Bacterial small subunit ribosomal RNA", at positions 505 to 918 of the family's 1533-position model. Lineage: Bacteria; Bacillati; Cyanobacteriota. The record is from RNAcentral.